Epinephelus moara (kelp grouper) is the source of this 439-nucleotide long non-coding RNA. RefSeq lists it as uncharacterized. NCBI's taxonomy places the organism in Eukaryota, Metazoa, Chordata, Actinopteri, Perciformes, Serranidae. The record is from RefSeq and is a predicted model, not a curated record. The transcript is spliced from 3 exons.
AGCUCAUGGGACCUUAGAUCCAGAGCCCUUGAAUAGAGAGUCGCGUCUUCUCCAUUCACUCUAAUGGGCCAUUUUUUUCACAGCAAUGGCGGUUCGCGGAGCCUCUCAAUAGUUCCCGGAAGUAAGCGGCACAUGCUAGCAGCGCAAUGGAGUUACAGCAGAAGAGACCGGCUGUGAUGUACUUUUAACGGGAGCACUGGGUGGUGGCGGAGCAGUGAUGCUGCAGGACCACUGUGUGAGAGAGGACGCUGCAGAUAAGUGCUGAGUCGACCUUGGUGAGACUUAAAACUUAACAAGCACAAGAACAACAGGGGGAUGCAAUGGAGCCUGAACUCACCCCGCAAUGAAACAACCCCCUUACCCUGAGUCUCAACUCUGUGGGUUUUGCAAGCCUUUCCCUGUUCCUUAUUUUUAAUAAACCAAACACUGAGCUUCCCAA